Molecule: ribosomal RNA, 770 nt
Filed under: Staphylococcus aureus
Lineage: Bacteria; Bacillati; Bacillota; Bacilli; Caryophanales; Staphylococcaceae
Description: partial 16S ribosomal RNA
Rfam family: Bacterial small subunit ribosomal RNA
Source: RNAcentral
GAUGAACGCUGGCGGCGUGCCUAAUACAUGCAAGUCGAGCGAACGGACGAGAAGCUUGCUUCUCUGAUGUUAGCGGCGGACGGGUGAGUAACACGUGGAUAACCUACCUAUAAGACUGGGAUAACUUCGGGAAACCGGAGCUAAUACCGGAUAAUAUUUUGAACCGCAUGGUUCAAAAGUGAAAGACGGUCUUGCUGUCACUUAUAGAUGGAUCCGCGCUGCAUUAGCUAGUUGGUAAGGUAACGGCUUACCAAGGCAACGAUGCNUAGCCGACCUGAGAGGGUGAUCGGCCACACUGGAACUGAGACACGGUCCAGACUCCUACGGGAGGCAGCAGUAGGGAAUCUUCCGCAAUGGGCGAAAGCCUGACGGAGCAACGCCGCGUGAGUGAUGAAGGUCUUCGGAUCGUAAAACUCUGUUAUUAGGGAAGAACAUAUGUGUAAGUAACUGUGCACAUCUUGACGGUACCUAAUCAGAAAGCCACGGCUAACUACGUGCCAGCAGCCGCGGUAAUACNUAGGUGGCAAGCGUUAUCCNGAAUUAUUGGGCGUAAAGCGCGCGUAGGCGGUUUUUUANNUCUUGAUGUGAAAGCCCACGGCUCAACCGUGGAGGGUCAUUGGAAACUGGNNAACUUGANUGCAGAANANGAAAGUGGAAUUCCAUGUGUAGCGGUUGAAAUGCGCANANAUAUGGAGGAACANNCAGUGNNGANNCGANUUUUCUGGNUCUGUANNUGACGNUGAUGUGCGAAAGCGUGGGGAUNNANCNGG